This 391-nucleotide unclassified non-coding RNA is filed under the name soil metagenome. Its description in RNAcentral is "partial contains 5.8S ribosomal RNA, internal transcribed spacer 2, and large subunit ribosomal RNA". The stretch from base 1 to 122 matches the Rfam family "5.8S ribosomal RNA", at positions 35 to 154 of the family's 154-position model. The record is from RNAcentral.
GAUGAAGAACGUAGCGAAAUGCGAUACUUGGUGUGAAUUGCAGAAUCCCGUGAACCAUCGAGUCUUUGAACGCAAGUUGCGCCCGAAGCCAUUAGGUCGAGGGCACGCCUGCCUGGGCGUCACACGUCGUUGCCCCCCCAUCUACUCCUUCGGGAUUGCGGGGGGCGGAUGAUGGCCUCCCGUGCGCCUCGCCGCGCGGUUGGCAUAAAUGCCAAGUCCUCGGCGACGCACGCCACGACAAUCGGUGGUUGCGAAACCUCGGUUGCCCGUCGUGUGCGGUCGUCGCGCAUCGAGGGCUCGAAAAAAUUGCCGGGUUCCGGCUCGGCUUUCAACGCGACCCCAGGUCAGGCGGGGUUACCCGCUGAAUUUAAGCAUAUCAAUAAGCGGAGGA